Molecule: ribosomal RNA, 434 nt
Filed under: uncultured Lachnospiraceae bacterium
Lineage: Bacteria; Bacillati; Bacillota; Clostridia; Lachnospirales; Lachnospiraceae
Description: bacterial SSU rRNA
Rfam family: Bacterial small subunit ribosomal RNA
Source: RNAcentral
ACGGAAGGCAGCAGUAGGGCAUAUUGCACAAUGGGGGAAACCCUGAUGCAGCGACGCCGCGUGAGUGAUGAAGUAUUUCGGUACGUAAAGCUCUAUCAGCAGGAAAGAUAAUGACGGUACCUGACUAAGAAGCCCCGGCUAACUACGUGCCAGCAGCCGCGGUAAUACGUAGGGGGCAAGCGUUAUCCGGAUUUACUGGGUAUAAAGGGAGUGUAGGUGGCGUGGCAAGUCAGAUGUGAAAGCCCGCGGCUCAACCGCGGGACUGCAUUUGAAACUGUCAUGCUAGAGUGCAGGAGAGGAAAGUGGAAUUCCUAGUGUAGCGGUGAAAUGCGUAGAUAUUAGGAGGAACACCAGUGGCGAAGGCGGCUUUCUGGACUGUUACUGACACUGAGGCUCGAAAGAGUGGGGAGCAAACAGGAUUAGAUACCCUGGUA